GUACUCACUAUUUGCUCAUUUAGGUUCACAUUCGCAUCAACCUGCAAAUGAUAAAGACUGUCAAUUAAAAGAUCUCGUGAAACCAAUUUGUUUAUAAAUAAAUAGAACAAAAAUCUUUAUUGAAAUAAAUUUCAAAGCCUUCCUAUGCUAGCAUAGAUACGAAAAUUAAAUUCCAACUAACUAUAAAAAUAUUAUAACAG
RNAcentral lists this long non-coding RNA (200 nucleotides) under Elaeis guineensis (African oil palm). RNAcentral describes it as "long non-coding RNA (EGUI_LNC064947)". The record is from RNAcentral. Lineage: Eukaryota; Viridiplantae; Streptophyta; Magnoliopsida; Arecales; Arecaceae.